Arabidopsis thaliana (thale cress) is the source of this 209-nucleotide long non-coding RNA. RefSeq annotates it as other RNA. The transcript has a single exon. The record is from RefSeq. NCBI's taxonomy places the organism in Eukaryota, Viridiplantae, Streptophyta, Magnoliopsida, Brassicales, Brassicaceae.
CGCAAAUGGAUUUGCUCGCCCUAUAUAUUUGAGGUCUUAUAUGAAUUUACAAACAAAAAAAAAAAAAUCUACAAAGCUUUGAGAAGGUUAAUGGUUUAUUUAUUUAUUUUAAAAGCCAAAAACUAAACUGAAAAGUGAAAACUACAUCCACUUAAGGUAUGUAGAUUAAUCUGUGAGCCAUGGCGCGAAGGUCAUGGCUUUGUGUAUGC